UUUAUCUUCUCUGAGUACUUCCUCCAAAUUUAAUGAUACAACAUGUGACCUUUUGCGUCUGGAUUUUUUACUUAGCAUUAUUGUCUCAUUUUAUUUUGAUUAUCUAUACUAUUAAGAAUUUUACUUUAGCUGUUGGUAUUUAACAUUCAGUGUAUUGAUGUUAUAAUAUAUUCUUUUUUGAUGUUUUAUCCGCCAAGCCCAAAUCGUUCUUUCAUUUAUUUUAUUUCAUGUAUUUACUUUGAUCAGGGAAUUCUGAUCGCCCUGUUACCUUAGAAGACCUGAAGAAACUUAAAUAUCUGGAGUGUGUUAUUAAGGAGACCCUUCGUAUUUUUCCUUCUGUGCCUAUAAUUGCCCGUGGUCUUAAUGAAGAUUGUGAUGUUGGGGGGUACAACAUCGUGAAAGGCUCUCAAAUACUCAUCGUUCCCUACGCACUGCAUAGAGACCAAAAGUACUUCCCUGACCCUGAGGAGUUCAAGCCAGAGCGGUUCUUUCCCGAGAAUUCGAUGGGACGCCAUCCAUAUGCAUAUGUGCCCUUCUCUGCUGGACCCAGAAACUGUAUAGGUCAAAGGUUUGCCAUGAUGGAAGAAAAGGUAAUUCUUUCAUGCAUCCUGAGGCAUUUUUGGGUAGAAUGCAACCAGAAAAGAGAAGAACUUGGUCUGGCAGGAGAGCUGAUUCUUCGUCCUACUAAUGGCAUCUGGAUCAAGUUGAAGAGGAGAAACACAGAUGCAUCCUAACUCUAUGAUUGGCUGUGCCUUAGUAGGAAUAAAGUCUUUCUUUAAGAGAA
Myotis brandtii (Brandt's bat) is the source of this 784-nucleotide long non-coding RNA. RefSeq lists it as uncharacterized. NCBI's taxonomy places the organism in Eukaryota, Metazoa, Chordata, Mammalia, Chiroptera, Vespertilionidae. The transcript has 3 exons. The record is from RefSeq and is a predicted model, not a curated record.